GGGCCCGUCGUCUAGCUUGGUUAGGACGUCGCCCUCACACGGCGAAGAUCCUGGGUUCAAGUCCCAGCGGGCCCA
RNAcentral lists this transfer RNA (75 nucleotides) under Saccharolobus solfataricus. RNAcentral describes it as "tRNA-Val (CAC) (tRNA-Val-CAC-1-1)". It matches the Rfam family "tRNA". From Rfam's summary of the family: Transfer RNA (tRNA) molecules are approximately 80 nucleotides in length. Their secondary structure includes four short double-helical elements and three loops (D, anti-codon, and T loops). Further hydrogen bonds mediate the characteristic L-shaped molecular structure. tRNAs have two regions of fundamental functional importance: the anti-codon, which is responsible for specific mRNA codon recognition, and the 3' end, to which the tRNAs corresponding amino acid is attached (by aminoacyl-tRNA synthetases). tRNAs cope with the degeneracy of the genetic code in two manners: having more than one tRNA (with a specific anti-codon) for a particular amino acid; and 'wobble' base-pairing, i.e. permitting non-standard base-pairing at the 3rd anti-codon position. The record is from RNAcentral. RNAcentral also lists the same sequence under 2 other names. Lineage: Archaea; Thermoproteati; Thermoproteota; Thermoprotei; Sulfolobales; Sulfolobaceae.